GGUCGAGGGCGAGCUGACGGAGCAGACCGCGUGGGGGAAGAAGGCUCUUGGGUUGUAAACCCCUUUUCUCUGGGAAGAAAGUUGUGAAAGCAACCUGACGGUACCAGAGGAAUCAGCAUCGGCUAACUCCGUGCCAGCAGCCGCGGUAAGACGGAGGAUGCAAGCGUUAUCCGGAAUGAUUGGGCGUAAAGCGUCCGCAGGUGGCAGUUCAAGUCUGCUGUCAAAGACCGGGGCUUAACUUCGGAAAGGCAGUGGAAACUGAACAGCUAGAGUAUGGUAGGGGCAGAGGGAAUUCCUGGUGUAGCGGUGAAAUGCGUAGAGAUCAGGAAGAACAUCGGUGGCGAAGGCGCUCUGCUGGACCAUAACUGACACUCAGGGACGAAAGCUAGGGGAGCGAAUGGGAUUAGAUACCCCAGUAGUCCUAGCCGUAAACGAUGGAUACUAGGUGUUGUCUGUAUCGACCCGGACAGUGCCGUAGCUAACGCGUUAAGUAUCCCGCCUGGGGAGUACGCACGCAAGUGUGAAACUCAAAGGAAAUUGACGG
RNAcentral lists this ribosomal RNA (544 nucleotides) under uncultured bacterium. RNAcentral's name for it is "bacterial SSU rRNA". It matches the Rfam family "Bacterial small subunit ribosomal RNA", at positions 373 to 916 of the family's 1533-position model. The record is from RNAcentral.